GCGCCCGUAGCUCAACCGGCAGAGCGUCGGCUUGCGGAGCCGAAGGUUGCAGGUUCAAGUCCUGCCGGGCGUG
This 73-nucleotide transfer RNA is filed under the name bacterium. Its description in RNAcentral is "tRNA-Arg". It matches the Rfam family "tRNA". Rfam says of the family: Transfer RNA (tRNA) molecules are approximately 80 nucleotides in length. Their secondary structure includes four short double-helical elements and three loops (D, anti-codon, and T loops). The record is from RNAcentral.